AGAUUGAACGCUGGCGGCAUGCUUUACACAUGCAAGUCGAACGGUAACAGGCCGCAAGGUGCUGACGAGUGGCGAACGGGUGAGUAAUGCAUCGGAACGUGCCCAGUCGUGGGGGAUAACGCAGCGAAAGCUGUGCUAAUACCGCAUACGAUCUAUGGAUGAAAGCGGGGGACCGAAAGGCCUCGCGCGAUUGGAGCGGCCGAUGUCAGAUUAGCUAGUUGGUGGGUAAAGCCCACCGAAGGCGACGAUCUGUAGCUGGUCUGAGAGGACGACCAGCCACACUGGAACUGAGACACGGUCCAGACUCCGUACGGGAGCAGCAGGUGGGGAACUUUGGACAAGUGGGCGCGAAGCCUGAUCCGAGCAAUCGGCCGCGGUGCGAAGGAACGAAGGUCCUUUCGGGUUAGUAAACGU
RNAcentral lists this ribosomal RNA (414 nucleotides) under uncultured soil bacterium. Its description in RNAcentral is "bacterial SSU rRNA". It matches the Rfam family "Bacterial small subunit ribosomal RNA", at positions 26 to 432 of the family's 1533-position model. The record is from RNAcentral.